This is a long non-coding RNA of Hydractinia symbiolongicarpus, 734 nucleotides long. RefSeq lists it as uncharacterized. NCBI's taxonomy places the organism in Eukaryota, Metazoa, Cnidaria, Hydrozoa, Anthoathecata, Hydractiniidae. The record is from RefSeq and is a predicted model, not a curated record. The transcript is spliced from 3 exons.
UAUAUAUAUAUAUAUAUAUAUAUUCUUAAAAAAUGAUUUAUUACAAAAAAGUGUGUAUAAGUAAUUUCUGAAAUUCUUUAUGCGUAUCUUUCCUAUUAUUGUAUGUGUAGCAGUGUUUCUUCACAAAACUUCGGAGUAUUACACGAUCAAUCUAAUUUUUCAAAUUUUCUCAUCAACACUGUUUAUCUAAAAAUUGGAUGCAUGUUUUCUUUUAAUGAGCAAAAAGGUAGUUGUAUAUAUCACACUAAGCAAUGAUUAAGAAAACUGACAAUUUGAAAAUUAAAUUGUUAAAUUGGAUUGAUAGUGUCCUUAAUUGUGGGCAAUUUUCUGUGAAAGCAUGGUUAAAAAUUUUUUUAAACCUCUCAUAUUUCUAAACAAUUUCACUUUAGAGUUCAUAAUAUUACCUGAUGGGAAGCACUGAAAUGAAAAAGGCAAGAAUAUGUGCAAUCUGGGGAUUAUCGAUAUUUCAGCACAUGUUUAUGUAUCCAGGUAAAUGGUGGCACCUUAGUGUAAAUUGAAGCUCUCUAAUGACAGCACAAGUAUACCGAUGUAAUUUAUAAAUUUAAAGAAAUGGAUCUAAUUUAUAGGUUCAAGAAAAACUUAAUGCUGUUUUACGAGAAAGUCAUAUCUGCAAAAGAAGAAGAGAAUAAAGAAAAAACUCUUACAAUAUUUUUAUAGUUUAUUGAACUUUUAUCACUGUAACGGAAUGAUUAUUUAUCUUUAUAUCACACUCC